RNAcentral lists this non-coding RNA (20 nucleotides) under Arabidopsis thaliana (thale cress). Lineage: Eukaryota; Viridiplantae; Streptophyta; Magnoliopsida; Brassicales; Brassicaceae. RNAcentral also lists the same sequence under 1 other name. The record is from RNAcentral.
GGUGGAGCGAUUUGUCUGGU